AACUCCGGAUCUGCGGUGGGUACGGGCAGACUUGAGUGAUGUAGGGGAGACUGGAAUUCCUGGUGUAGCGGUGAAAUGCGCAGAUAUCAGGAGGAACACCGAUGGCGAAGGCAGGUCUCUGGGCAUUAACUGACGCUCAGGAGCGAAAGCAUGGGGAGCGAACAGGAUUAGAUACCCUGGUAGUCCAUGCCGUAAACGUUGGGCACUAGGUGUGGGGGACAUUCCACGUUUUCCGCGCCGUAGCUAACGCAUUAAGUGCCCCGCCUGGGGAGUACGGCCGCAAGGCUAAAACUCAAAGGAAUUGACGGGGGCCCGCACAAGCGGCGGAGCAUGCGGAUUAAUUCGAUGCAACGCGAAGAACCUUACCAAGGCUUGACAUGAACCGGAACGGCGCAGAGAUGUGUCGGCCACUUGUGGCCGGUUUACAGGUGGUGCAUGGUUGUCGUCAGCUCGUGUCGUGAGAUGUUGGGUUAAGUCCCGCAACGAGCGCAACCCUCGUUCCAUGUUGCCAGCGGGUUAUGCCGGGGACUCAUGGGAGACUGCCGGGGUCAACUCGGAGGAAGGUGGGGACGACGUCAAAUCAUCAUGCCCCUUAUGU
RNAcentral lists this ribosomal RNA (598 nucleotides) under Arthrobacter tecti. RNAcentral's name for it is "bacterial SSU rRNA". It matches the Rfam family "Bacterial small subunit ribosomal RNA", at positions 611 to 1207 of the family's 1533-position model. The record is from RNAcentral. Lineage: Bacteria; Bacillati; Actinomycetota; Actinomycetes; Micrococcales; Micrococcaceae.